UGCGAGUGAAGCGGGAAAAGCUCAAAUUUAAAAUCUGGCAGUCUCUGGCUGUCCGAGUUGUAAUCUAGAGAAGUAAUGCCCGUGCUGGACCGUGUAUAAGUCUCCUGGGAUGGGGCGUCAUAGAGGGUGAGAAUCCCGUCUUUGACACGGACUACCAGUGCAUUGUGGUAUGCUCUCAAAGAGUCGAGUUGUUUGGGAAUGCAGCUCAAAAUGGGUGGUAAAUUCCAUCUAAAGCUAAAUAUUGGCGAGAGACCGAUAGCGAACAAGUACCGUGAGGGAAAGAUGAAAAGAACUUUGGAAAGAGAGUUAAACAGUACGUGAAAUUGCUGAAAGGGAAACGCUUGAAGUCAGUCGCGUUGGCCGGGAAUCAGCCUUGCUUUUGCUUGGUGUACUUUCUGGUUUGACGGGUCAGCAUCAAUUUUGACCGCUGGAAAAAGACCUGGGGAAUGUGGCAGCUUCGGCUGUGUUAUAGCCCCUAGUCGCAUACAGUGGUUGGGAUUGAGGAACUCAGCACGCCGCAAGGCCGGGUUUCGACCACGUUCGUGCUUAGGAUGCUGGCAUAAUGGCUUUAAGCGACCCGUCUUGAAACACGGACCAAGGAGUCUAACAUGCCUGCGAGUAUUUGGGUGGAAAACUCAAGUGCGUAAUGAAAGUGAAAGUUGAGAUCCCUGUCGUGGGGAGCAUCGACGCCCGGACCAGAACUUUUGGGACGGAUCCGCGGUGGAGCAUGUAUGUUGGGACCCGAAAGAUGGUGAACUAUGCCUGAAUAGGGUGAAGCCAGAGGAAACUCUGGUGGAGGC
RNAcentral lists this ribosomal RNA (800 nucleotides) under Agaricus sp. 22 MH-2017. RNAcentral's name for it is "eukaryotic LSU rRNA". It matches the Rfam family "Eukaryotic large subunit ribosomal RNA", at positions 88 to 874 of the family's 3401-position model. The record is from RNAcentral. Lineage: Eukaryota; Fungi; Basidiomycota; Agaricomycetes; Agaricales; Agaricaceae.